This 3498-nucleotide long non-coding RNA is filed under the name Podarcis lilfordi (Lilford's wall lizard). Lineage: Eukaryota; Metazoa; Chordata; Lepidosauria; Squamata; Lacertidae. The record is from RNAcentral.
UAAUAAUAAUAAUAAUAAUAAAUUUUAUUUAUAUCCCGCCCUCCCCAGCCAAAGCCAGGCUCAGGGCGGCUAACAACAAACAAAUAAUCAAACAAUCAAAUAAUCCAACAUUCUAAAACAUUUCAUUAUAAAAUUAAUUAAAAUCAAAUUAAUGGCAACCGUUAAGCAAAGUUCUGUGCAGGUUGCCGGAGGUGGGAGUCAGGCUGGGCCCUGACCAAAGGCCUGGUGGAACAACUCUGUCUUGCAGGCCCUGCGGAAAGAUGUCAGGUCCCGCAGGGCCCUAGUCUCUUGUGACAGAGCGUUCCACCAGAUUGGAGCCGCAGCCGAGAAAGCCCUGGCUCUAGUUGAGGCCAGCCUAACCUCUCUGAGGCCUGGGACCUUCAGGAUGUUUUUAUUUGCAGACCGUAGGUUCCUCUGUGGGGCAUACCAGGAGAGGCGGUCCCGUAGGUACGAGGGUCCUAGGCCGUAUAGGGCUUUAAAGGUUAAAACCAGCACCUUAAACCUGAUCCUGUACUCCACCGGGAGCCAGUGCAGCUGGUAUAGUACCGGAUGAAUGUGAUCUCGCAGCGAAGACCCCAUAAGGAGUCUCGCUGCGGCAUUCUGCACCCGCUGGAGUUUCUGGGUCAGUCUCAAGGGCAGCCCCACGUAGAGCGAGUUACAAUAAUCCAGUCUGGAGGUGACCGUCGCGUGGAUCACAGUGGCUAGGUCAGGGCGAGAGAGAUAAGGGGCCAACUGCUUAGCUUGGCGGAGAUGAAAAAUGCCGCCUUUGUUAUAGCUGUAAUCUGCGCCUCCAUAGAGAGGGAGGUAUCGAAGAUUACACCCAAACUCUUAACGGACGGUGCUGGCACUAAUUGCACCCUCGCAAGAGAUGGGAGUUGCCCCCCCAAUCCCAUAUCGUCCCGUCCCAGCCAGAGGACCUCUGUCUUCGAAGGAUUUAACUUCAACCGGCUUCCGCGUAACCAUCCAGCCACAGCUUCCAAACAUCUGGUCAGUGUGUCUGGGGCCGAGUCAGGAUGGCCAUCCAUCAACAGAUAGAGUUGGGUGUCAUCGGCAUACUGAUGGCAACCCAGCCCAAAACUCCGGACAAGCUGGGCGAGGGGGCGCAUAAAGAUGUUAAAAAGCAUCGGGGAGAGUAUCGCACCCUGAGGCACUCCACACACCAAGGAGUGGCGGGAUGACAAUUCCCCCCCAAGCGCCACCCUCUGUCCCCGACCGGAGAGAAACGAGCGCAGCCAUUGAAGGACUGUGCCCUGGAUCCCCACGUCGGCAAGGCGGUGGUCCAGGAGUUCGUGAUCAACCAUGUCGAAGGCUGCUGACAGGUCUAGAAGAAUCAGCAGCCCCGACCCGCCUCGAUCCAGCUGCCUGCGGAGAUCAUCUGUUAGGGCGACCAGAGCCGUCUCGGUCCCAUGACCAGCGCGGAAGCCAGACUGGAAUGGAUCCAGAGCCGAUGUUUCAUCCAGAAACCUACCAAGCUGUUCAGCAACCGCUCUCUCAAUCACCUUACCCAGGAAUGGAAGAUUCGAAACCGGGCGGUAAUUGGAUAGAUCUAAGGGAUCUAAUGAUGUUUUCUUUAAGAGCGGGCGCACCACUGCCUCCUUCAAUUCCCCUGGAAAUAUCCCGGUGCCAAGGGACAAAUUGAUGAUAUCUCCCAGGGGCCCGCACCUCGUCUGGACACGCUCUAAUCAGCCAAGACGGGCACGGGUCAAGAGGACAGGUGGUGGGCUUUCCAGCUCGGAGGAGUCUGUCCACAUCGGCUGGGGAUAUCCGAUCAAAGUGGUCCAAUACUGGACCCGAGGACAGUCGAGGGGCCUCCAGUUCCUUUAUUGUAUCCAAAUUGGCAGGGAGGUCAUGGCGGAGCAACAGGACCUUCUCCGCAAAAAGCUCGCAAAUGCCUCACAGCUGUGUGUCAGAUUGUUAUUUAAAUUUGGCUGUCCUUCAAGGGACGUUAAAGACCUAAUUAUACUAAAUAAUUGCGCCGGGCGAGAGCUAGCGGAUGCAAUGGAGGCCGAGAAGUAAGACUUCUUAGCGGCCUUCACCGCCAUCUCAUAGGUUUUCAUAAAAACCCUAUAAGAUGUUCUUGAGGCUCCGUCACGGGCACCCCGCCAUACUCGCUCUAGCCGUCUGAGGUCCCGCUUCAUUUUCCGAAGCUCCUCGGUAAACCAGGGAGCCCGGUUUCUGCGGAGUCGCAGAGGGCGCUUAGGUGCGAUCUCAUCUAUGGCUGCCAGGAGCUGGGUAUUCCAGCCCUCAACAAGCUCAGUCAAUGAGUCGCCAGGGGGAGCAAGGUCCCGCAAGGCUUGACGGAAUCUAUCAGGGUCCAUCAGCCUCUGCGGGCGAGCCCAAAUCGGCUCGCCACCUAAGCAGGGUGGGGGUGGAAAGUCAAUCCUGGCUUUCAGAGCGUAGUGAUCAGACCAUGGCACCUUAAUUGAAGGAGACAUGAUCACAUCUAUACCUACGCCAAAGAUCAAAUCCAGCGUGUGGCCUGCUUGAUGUGUGGGGCCUGAAACAAACUGGGAGAGCCCUAGUGUUGCCAUGGAAGACACCAGGUCCAGAGCCUGUGAGGAGGGAGUGGCAUCAGCAUGGAUGUUGAAGUCCCCCAAUACCAAUAGGUUAGGGAACUCCAAGGCCCAGCCGGCCACCGCCUCCAGUAGGCCUGACAGGGUGGCUGCUGGUGCGCUAGGUGGCCGGUACACCAGCCAGACAGCCAAGCUCACCUCAGAGCCCCACACUAGGCCAACACAUUCAAUGCCGGGGAUCGAUGGCGAUGGUAGAGCCCUGAAAGGACAAUCUUCCCGGAUUAAUAAUGCCACCCCUCCCCCGGCCCACAGUCCGUGACUGGUGGAGGACGGAGAAACCCGGGGCGCCAUCUCUCGUAAGGUAACUGUUGCCCCUUCGCGUACCCAGGUCUCCGUCACACAAGCCAGGUCAACCCCUGCGAGGUAAAGAAAUCUCGCAGAGUGGCGGUUUUGUUGCCUAUAGACCUGGCAUUGCACAACACCAGUGACGGAGGUGAGUAAUCCUUGCUCACCCUACCCUCGUCCCUCGGGAUGGGGCGCAGAUUGGAAGGGGUACGAGCAUAUCCGUAUCUCGAUCCCCUUCGCCUAUAACAUCUGCCCCCACCACCAUACCUCCCUCGCCACUCCACAGUAGCAAUCCCAAGCCUCAUACAAGCCUCCAUUUACAAAAUAGAAAACCAAACCAAACUGAAAACAAUUCUACCUAAGCAAAACCAAUCCCCACCCCAAACCACAAUAAAACAGAACAAAAUAAAAAUACAUAGAUAAAAACCACUGUUCACGGUGGUACAAUAACGUAAGAAGUAAAAACACCUUUAAAAUACUUUAAAAUAUAUAAAAACAUUUUUAACAAUUGCUGCGGCAGCACCAGUGUCCUUAAAACUGUAGCGGAGGUGAGUCUGGGCCCCGCCCCCUAGGCCUGGUGGAAUCAGCCUGAAGAGGGAGCGGCCUUCCCCAACACUCACGGUGCAGCAGCAGCGAUGUC